UACGGAGGAUGCAAGCGUUAUCCGGAAUGAUUGGGCGUAAAGCGCCCGCAGGUGGCAGUUCAAGUCUGCUGUCAAAGACCGGGGCUUAACUUCGGAAAGGCAGUGGAAACUGAACAGCUAGAGUAUGGUAGGGGCAGAGGGAAUUCCUGGUGUAGCGGUGAAAUGCGUAGAGAUCAGGAAGAACAUCGGUGGCGAAGGCGCUCUGCUGGACCAUAACUAACACUCAGGGACGAAAGCUAGGGGAGCGAAUGGG
Molecule: ribosomal RNA, 253 nt
Filed under: uncultured bacterium
Lineage: Bacteria
Description: partial 16S ribosomal RNA
Rfam family: Bacterial small subunit ribosomal RNA
Source: RNAcentral